RNAcentral lists this transfer RNA (90 nucleotides) under Colletotrichum falcatum. Its description in RNAcentral is "tRNA-Arg". It matches the Rfam family "tRNA". From Rfam's summary of the family: Transfer RNA (tRNA) molecules are approximately 80 nucleotides in length. The record is from RNAcentral. Lineage: Eukaryota; Fungi; Ascomycota; Sordariomycetes; Glomerellales; Glomerellaceae.
GGCCGGUUGGCCCAAUGGCAAGGCGUCUGACUACGAUCACAUAAGUGCCGUGUAAUCAGGAGAUUCUGGGUUCGACCCCCAGGCUGGUCA